This 697-nucleotide ribosomal RNA is filed under the name uncultured bacterium. RNAcentral describes it as "bacterial SSU rRNA". It matches the Rfam family "Bacterial small subunit ribosomal RNA", at positions 8 to 722 of the family's 1533-position model. The record is from RNAcentral.
AGAGUUUGAUCAUGGCUCAGGACGAACGCUGGCGGCGUGCUUAACACAUGCAAGUCGAGCGAUGAAGCUCCUUCGGGAGUGGAUUAGCGGCGGACGGGUGAGUAACACGUGGGUAACCUGCCUCAUAGAGGGGAAUAGCCUUCCGAAAGGAAGAUUAAUACCGCAUAAGAUUGUAGUUUCGCAUGAAACAGCAAUUAAAGGAGUAAUCCGCUAUGAGAUGGACCCGCGUCGCAUUAGCUAGUUGGUGAGGUAACGGCUCACCAAGGCGACGAUGCGUAGCCGACCUGAGAGGGUGAUCGGCCACAUUGGGACUGAGACACGGCCCAGACUCCUACGGGAGGCAGCAGUGGGGAAUAUUGCACAAUGGGGGAAACCCUGAUGCAGCAACGCCGCGUGAGUGAUGAAGGUCUUCGGAUUGUAAAACUCUGUCUUUGGGGACGAUAAUGACGGUACCCAAGGAGGAAGCCACGGCUAACUACGUGCCAGCAGCCGCGGUAAUACGUAGGUGGCAAGCGUUGUCCGGAUUUACUGGGCGUAAAGGGAGCGUAGGUGGAUAUUUAAGUGGGAUGUGAAAUACUCGGGCUCAACCUGAGUGCUGCAUUCCAAACUGGAUAUCUAGAGUGCAGGAGAGGAAAGUAGAAUUCCUAGUGUAGCGGUAAAAUGCGUAGAGAUUAGGAAGAAUACCAGUGGCGAAGGC